GGUUGAAUGGUGCAGUGGUACAUCAUCUUGGCCGGUUUUUCAAACAGGAAACCGCUGGUUCGAAUCCGGCAAAACUUAACCA
RNAcentral lists this transfer RNA (82 nucleotides) under Blumeria hordei DH14. Its description in RNAcentral is "tRNA-Glu (TTC) (tRNA-Glu-TTC-3-1)". The record is from RNAcentral. Lineage: Eukaryota; Fungi; Ascomycota; Leotiomycetes; Helotiales; Erysiphaceae.